This 439-nucleotide long non-coding RNA is filed under the name Mus caroli (Ryukyu mouse). RNAcentral's name for it is "predicted gene, 30097 (MGP_CAROLIEiJ_G0005660.1)". The record is from RNAcentral. Lineage: Eukaryota; Metazoa; Chordata; Mammalia; Rodentia; Muridae.
UUCUGUUUUCAGCUCGGAGUAAGAUGUCUUCCAGUGUUCGGAGAUCAGUGUCCACGUCGGUUUGGUAAGAAGACAGGAAGUCUGCAAUGCCACAGGUGGUUGGGCAGAAACUACCCUGCAAGUCAAUUUAAGGAAGUGCUGGACUGAGGCAUGGGACAUCACUACAGAAGUUCCAGUUAGAGCAGAGAUUCACUCCAGUUGUGUAACUUACUACAGAAUAUUUUGUCAUUUUAGAGAGAUCGAAUGUCAAUGAAUACAGUUAUACUGCUCGUGCUAGCUAUGUGCCAAAGAGAGAUCACAGCGUCCCGAACCAAGACGCCAGUGUGCUUUAGACUCUUCAGAGAAGUCGACAAAGUUGACAAAGAUUUUAAUCUCCCCCUCUUUCCAUGAUGAUUCUUCAUCUCUGCUCACACCGUUCUCCUUUCUCUGAGGAACCUCG